AGGGAGACCUACACCCCUUACAUAUCGAAAAGCAUACAGCUAUAUAGAUAGUAAGUUGGUCAUUCCUUAGGUCGGUCGAUUAUUGGUAUAAAGCUUUCAAAGUAUUAAUGGUUCAGAAUAUUAAACGAAAAAUAUUGAGAGUUCAGCAACGUGACAUUGAUUGUCAGACUGCUGAGAUUAUUCUCAGCCAGAACCUUGAAAACUGCAUAGUAACGCGAAAUUAGCAGGCAGACACAGACAUUCUUUAUGGAUGUUGUAGUGAAUGCAAAAUUGUGAAAGACCAAAUGAAUUGAGUGUCAAGCGUUAAAUUACCG
This 314-nucleotide unclassified non-coding RNA is filed under the name Nostoc sp. PS27-1.1. Its description in RNAcentral is "partial contains 16S ribosomal RNA, 16S-23S ribosomal RNA intergenic spacer, and 23S ribosomal RNA". The record is from RNAcentral. Lineage: Bacteria; Bacillati; Cyanobacteriota; Cyanophyceae; Nostocales; Nostocaceae.